RNAcentral lists this ribosomal RNA (550 nucleotides) under uncultured archaeon. Its description in RNAcentral is "bacterial SSU rRNA". It matches the Rfam family "Archaeal small subunit ribosomal RNA", at positions 326 to 876 of the family's 1478-position model. The record is from RNAcentral.
CGGGGUGCAGCAGGCGCGAAAACUUUACAAUGCCGGCAACGGCGAUAAGGGAACCUCGAGUGCCAGGUUACAAAUCUGGCUGUCGUGAUGCCUAAAAAGCAUUGCAUAGCAAGGGCCGGGCAAGACCGGUGCCAGCCGCCGCGGUAACACCGGCGGCUCGAGUGGUAACCGUUAUUAUUGGGUCUAAAGGGUCUGUAGCCGGCCGGGUAAGUCUCUUGGGAAAUCUGGCAGCUUAACUGUCAGGCUUUCAGGAGAUACUGCCUGGCUCGAGGCCGGGAGAGGUGAGAGGUACUUCAGGGGUAGGGGUGAAAUCUUGUAAUCCUUGAAGGACCACCAGUGGCGAAGGCGUCUCACCAGAACGGACCUGACGGCAAGGGACGAAAGCUAGGGGCACGAACCGGAUUAGAUACCCGGGUAGUCCUAGCCGUAAACGAUACUCGCUAGGUGUCGGCCACGGUGCGACCGUGGUCGGUGCCGUAGGGAAGCCGUGAAGCGAGCCACCUGGGAAGUACGGCCGCAAGGCUGAAACUUAAAGGAAUUGGCGGGGGAG